Molecule: non-coding RNA, 222 nt
Filed under: Clostridia bacterium
Lineage: Bacteria; Bacillati; Bacillota; Clostridia
Description: 6S RNA
Rfam family: 6S / SsrS RNA
About the family: E. coli 6S RNA was the first non coding RNA to be sequenced, but its function was unknown until recently. It consists of 184 nucleotides that fold into an extended hairpin structure with a large single-stranded internal bulge.
Source: RNAcentral
UUACUCCUGCUUAGUUCGUGAUAAACCGCUUUAUUCGAGCCACAGAUGAUUAAAAGGAGCUCAAUAUUUUGUGUUGGUUUGCAGACCUCCCACUAUUCUCCCUCUUAAUGAGGCUUUUGUCGGACGGAAAUAGUGGAAGUUGGGAGCAGUAAAGGCACAGUGAGGGCACCGCCUUGGAAACAAGGUUCGCAACUACGGUUUACACGGCUCGGUGGGUAUUUU